AGAGUUUGAUCCUGGCUCAGAUUGAACGCUGGCGGCAUGCCUUACACAUGCAAGUCGAACGGCAGCACGGGAGCAAUCCUGGUGGCGAGUGGCGAACGGGUGAGUAACGUAUCGGAACGUACCUUUCAGUGGGGGAUAACGUAGCGAAAGUUACGCUAAUACCGCAUAUUCUGUGAGCAGGAAAGCAGGGGAUCGCAAGACCUUGCGCUGAUUGAGCGGCCGAUAUCAGAUUAGCUAGUUGGUGAGGUAAAGGCUCACCAAGGCGACGAUCUGUAGCGGGUCUGAGAGGAUGAUCCGCCACACUGGAACUGAGACACGGUCCAGACUCCUACGGGAGGCAGCAGUGGGGAAUUUUGGACAAUGGGGGCAACCCUGAUCCAGCCAUGCCGCGUGAGUGAAGAAGGCCUUCGGGUUGUAAAGCUCUUUCAGCCGGGAAGAAAUCACAUGGGUUAAUACCCUGUGUGGAUGACGGUACCGGAAUAAGAAGCACCGGCUAACUACGUGCCAGCAGCCGCGGUAAUACGUAGGGUGCGAGCGUUAAUCGGAGUUACUGGGCGUAAAGCGUGCGCAGGCGGUUUGUUAAGAUAGGCGUGAAAUCCCCGGGCUCACCUGGGAACUGCGUUUAUGACUGGCAGGCUAG
Molecule: ribosomal RNA, 640 nt
Filed under: uncultured beta proteobacterium
Lineage: Bacteria; Pseudomonadati; Pseudomonadota; Betaproteobacteria
Description: bacterial SSU rRNA
Rfam family: Bacterial small subunit ribosomal RNA
Source: RNAcentral